Molecule: ribosomal RNA, 507 nt
Filed under: uncultured bacterium
Lineage: Bacteria
Description: bacterial SSU rRNA
Rfam family: Bacterial small subunit ribosomal RNA
Source: RNAcentral
AGCGAACGUUUGCGGCGGGCUUAACACAUGCAAGUCGAACGAGAAUCCCUUCGGGGAGGAAAGUGGCGCACGGGUGCGUAACACGUGGAUAACCAACCCAUUGGUUUGGGACAACACCGGGAAACUGGUGCUAAUACCAGAUGUGUCGCAGCUGUCUUCAGGCGGUUGCGAGAAAGGCCCGCAAGGGUCGCCAACGGACGGGUCCGCGUCCCAUCAGCUAGUUGGUGAGGUAAUGGCUCACCAAGGCAAAGACGGGUAGCUGGUCUGAGAGGAUGAUCAGCCACACUGGAACUGAGACACGGUCCAGACUCCUACGGGAGGCAGCAGUGGGGAAUAUUGCGCAAUGGGCGAAAGCCUGACGCAGCCACGCCGCGUGAGUUUUUCGAUGAAGGUCUUCGGAUCGUAAAGCUCUGUGGGGGGAGAAGAAGAAAGCCGGUGAAGAGCCGGCCCUGACGGUAUCCCCUUAGCAAGCACCGGCUAACUCCGUGCCAGCAGCCGCGGUAAAGU